AAAAAGAGAUGUUUUAAUUGAGAUGAAAACUGAGGACAAUCAAACAGGGAAAAGCAGUGAGUGUGAAGACACUGUUUACUCUGAUCUGAAGCAGAACACAGACAGAGGUGGCAGUGCUGGAGUCGAUGCAACUUAUGCUCAAGAUUUUAA
Molecule: long non-coding RNA, 150 nt
Organism: Xyrauchen texanus (razorback sucker)
Lineage: Eukaryota; Metazoa; Chordata; Actinopteri; Cypriniformes; Catostomidae
Exons: 3
Source: RefSeq, a predicted model, not a curated record